RNAcentral lists this long non-coding RNA (1391 nucleotides) under Homo sapiens (human). Its description in RNAcentral is "HSALNT0317605". The record is from RNAcentral. Lineage: Eukaryota; Metazoa; Chordata; Mammalia; Primates; Hominidae.
GUCAUCAAGCUGCGCGGGGGCAUAGACGUCCGGGUCGGGCGCCGCGGGGCGGAAGACGAGGGCGGCGAGGUCGGGUUCCGGGCGCUUGGAGAAGAUGGUGCUGCGGCGGCUGCUGGCCGCCCUGCUGCACAGCCCGCAGCUGGUGGAACGUCUGUCAGAGUCGCGGCCUAUCCGACGUGCGGCGCAGCUCACGGCCUUCGCACUGCUGCAGGCCCAGCUGCGGGGCCAGGACGCGGCCCGCCGCCUGCAGGACCUCGCGGCUGGGCCCGUGGGCUCCCUGUGCCGCCGCGCUGAGCGAUUUAGAGACGCCUUCACCCAGGAGCUACGCCGCGGCCUCCGAGGCCGCUCGGGGCCACCACCAGGUAGCCAGAGGGGCCCUGGCGCAAACAUUUAAUCCUGGGCUGUGCGGGGCCGAGGCCGCUUGCUUUUCCUUCCGGGCUCUACAGUGGCAUCAAUGUGGAGGGGUCAUUCCGGGCACUGCGCGCGGCUUCGAAUCCCGACUGGGAUUGUUGGCCUGCAGACAUCCCACGCAUAAGAGCCUAGGCCAGACCGCCCGCUCCGUUGAAGUCUUGUGAUUGGACAAGACACAGUGUGGAGACAGCCCUAAGCCUAACAGAGAUGAAGGUAGGCUGGGUCCAGACACGGCACCUACGGAGAGCCACGGACCGAAGCCAGAGAGCCUUUCCUCUGCAAGUGGGACUGAAACUCUUGACAGAUGCUGCUCAAUCUGACUGGUAUAGCAGGACAGUUAAUUCCAGGGACGAUAUGGAUGAAAAGACAACCCUACAGCUGCCAAAUUCCUUUGAUUAAAUGUGUGAGCUGGUUGAUAGGCAUGAGUGUGAUACUUCUCAGGCAAGAUGUGUUAAGAAUACCGGGGACUGUAGGCCUAUGGUAAUAAUAAACACGUAUUUUAUGAAAUGAGUCUUCUGUGCUGGGACUUGCUCAUUGCACUCUAUGUGUUAUCUCACUCCUUACAACGACAUUCACAUGAGGAAGCAGAUUACUUUUUGGAUUUUUUUGUAGAGAUGGGGUGGUCUCGAACUCUUGGGCGCAAGUGAUCCUCCCGCCUCAGCCUCCCAAAGUGCUGGGAUUAUAGGCAAGAGCCACUGCGAUGGAAACAGAGGCUGCUGCUUAAGUUGCCCAAAGUCUUGCAGAGUGGGAUGUGAGCAGAGGCAUUUGACUCCAGGGCCUAAGUCCUUAACACAGCUCUGCAGCAUUUACCCUGAUACUCAACCCCUUCCUUCCCCAACCCCCCACCAUCAGGCAUUAAGACUACUGCCUAGGGGCAGGGCCUGGUGGCAGUUGUGUCUUAUCCCAGCCACUGCAGAGGCAGGAGGAUCGCAUGAGCCUGAGAUGAGACCAGCCUGGGUAGCAUAGCGAGAACCUUUCUC